AUUGAACGCUGGCGGCAUGCCUUACACAUGCAAGUCGAACGGUAACGCGGGGGCAACCUGGCGACGAGUGGCGAACGGGUGAGUAAUAUAUCGGAACGUGCCCAGUAGUGGGGGAUAGCCCGGCGAAAGCCGGAUUAAUACCGCAUGAGACCUGAGGGUGAAAGCGGGGGAUCGCAAGACCUCGCGCUAUUGGAGCGGCCGAUAUCAGAUUAGGUAGUUGGUGGGGUAAAGGCCUACCAAGCCGACGAUCUGUAGCUGGUCUGAGAGGACGACCAGCCACACUGGGACUGAGACACGGCCCAGACUCCUACGGGAGGCAGCAGUGGGGAAUAUUGGGCAAUGGGCGCAAGCCUGACCCAGCAAUGCCGCGUGGGUGAAGAAGGUCUUCGGAUUGUAAAGCCCUUUCGGCGGGGACGAUGGUGACGGUACCCGCAGAAGAAGCCCCGGCCAACUUCGUG
This 458-nucleotide ribosomal RNA is filed under the name uncultured bacterium. Its description in RNAcentral is "bacterial SSU rRNA". It matches the Rfam family "Bacterial small subunit ribosomal RNA", at positions 29 to 507 of the family's 1533-position model. The record is from RNAcentral.